UACGGAGGGUGCAAGCGUUGCUCGGAAUUAUUGGGCGUAAAGGGGAGGUAGGUGGUCUUAUUUGUCAGAGGUGAAAUCCCUAGGCUUAACUUAGGAAGUGCCUCUGAAACGGUGAGACUGGAGUCCUGGAGAGGGUAGCGGAAUUCCCGGUGUAGCGGUGAAAUGCGUAGAGAUCGGGAAGAACACCAGAGGCGAAGGCGGCUACCUGGACAGGCACUGACACUGAACUCCGAAAGCGUGGGGAGCAAACAGG
This 253-nucleotide ribosomal RNA is filed under the name uncultured bacterium. RNAcentral's name for it is "partial 16S ribosomal RNA". It matches the Rfam family "Bacterial small subunit ribosomal RNA", at positions 524 to 776 of the family's 1533-position model. The record is from RNAcentral.